This 425-nucleotide ribosomal RNA is filed under the name uncultured bacterium. RNAcentral's name for it is "partial 16S ribosomal RNA". It matches the Rfam family "Bacterial small subunit ribosomal RNA", at positions 354 to 796 of the family's 1533-position model. The record is from RNAcentral.
GUGGGGAAUAUUGGACAAUGGGCGAAAGCCUGAUCCAGCAAUGCCGCGUGAGUGAAGAAGGCCUUCGGGUUGUAAAGCUCUUUUACCCGGGAAGAUAAUGACUGUACCGGGAGAAUAAGCCCCGGCUAACUCCGUGCCAGCAGCCGCGGUAAUACGGAGGGGGCUAGCGUUGUUCGGAAUUACUGGGCGUAAAGCGCACGUAGGCGGUCUUUUAAGUCAGAUGUGAAAGCCCGGUGCUCAACUCCGGAAUUGCCUUUGAAACUGGAAGACUUGAACACGGGAGAGGGGAGUGGAAUUCCGAGUGGAGAGGUGAAAUUCGUAGAUAUUCGGAGGAACACCAGUGGCGAAGGCGGCUCACUGGACCGGUGUUGACGCUGAGGUGCGAAAGCGUGGGGAGCAAACAGGAUUAGAUACCCGAGUAGUCC